Thamnophis sirtalis is the source of this 212-nucleotide non-coding RNA. Lineage: Eukaryota; Metazoa; Chordata; Lepidosauria; Squamata; Natricidae. The record is from RefSeq and is a predicted model, not a curated record.
GACCUGAAGCUAGAAAGUGGCAGCAGCAGAACUGUCCAUUUUCAGCCAAGAGAGGUGGGAAGGGGGAAAAGGACUCAUCACUAUGAUUUGGUUAUUUCUGGUUCUCCUCUGCAACAUCUUGCACAGCUCAGAUCAGAGCCAUUUGGAACAUUCAGACCAUUUAUUUGUAACCCAUUCAGAAGGGCAGAGAAGUCUAGAUGAACAUCACUCAG